Taeniopygia guttata (zebra finch) is the source of this 9673-nucleotide non-coding RNA. Lineage: Eukaryota; Metazoa; Chordata; Aves; Passeriformes; Estrildidae. The record is from RefSeq and is a predicted model, not a curated record.
UUAAAUACAUGCUGAGAAUAAUAACUCUAUUCUAGGCUUGACUGUGAUAAUCAAUUAGCCAGUUGGAGAGAAAAGGGCAGUUAUUAUGGGAGUGGAAUAUUAGCAGAAGGAAAGUGAUAAAGGCUGUCAGCUCUAUGAGUUACAGAUGGUGACAUGAAAGUUAGCUCCUGCAGAACUAUAAUCAGGGAACAUAAAAAUGUUUGUAUAUGCCAUGGAAAUAACAUCUCUUUUUCAGUCCAUGCUUUUUAGAGACAGCACAAAAACUAAUGCCAAAGCUAUCUUUUGCAGAUGUUUUAAGAGGUUGAAGAAAGAGUAAUUACUUUGAAGAGGUUUUUUUCCAUAGUCCUUUGCUGACUCUCUUUGUGAGCUCAUUUGGAUGCAUAGCUCUAGUUUCACAGAUGAUGUUGGAUGUAUUAGCUGAAGAAUGCAGCAUUCUGGCAUGCACAGGUUUAAAUCUGCUGGAUUUAAAUAGUUCUUUCAGCACUGGGGGCAUUUUUUUCAGUGGCUGUAGACAGAUGAUGGCAGGAUUUACUUAUACAGAAACUAAGAAAUGGUCCUGAGAUAUCAUAAGACUUUCAUCAUGCAGAUUGAGCUCUUUGCUAGGAAAUAAUGAUUUUCCAAAUUCUUUUAGCCAUUAUGGUAAUCACUGGAUUUCUCUAUGGAAACACUCAACAGCCAAAGCACAGAAGGUUGCUUUCAGUUCCACUAAAGCUGGUUCACAGCACUGAAUCAAGUUUCAAAUUGGACCUAGAGAUAAUCACUAAAAUUAAAAUUUGAAUACAUAAGUAAUGGGUAGAGCAUAACAAAUAAACACCACAGAAACCCAGGUGAUGCAAUAAAAUGUCUGCUCUUGAUGUAGCAGUCUUGGUUCUGCAGUUCUUUCCAUGCUGGUUUAUAUCAUCCAACACAUGGGAAAUCAGGUGCUUCCUGACAAUUGAAGAUCAUCAACACUUUCAAAACAAACACAUGAGUUUCUGUAGAUUCAUGCUACCAAAAUAUUAGGGCUCUUGAUUUAUGGAAAUAGAUUUUGAUCUAACUUCAGACAGGGAGGCACUUCAAUGUGUCUUUUUAGCUCAAAAGGGUCAAAUCCUUAGUUUAUAUCAGAUCAGAAAGAAAUCAGGAUAACAAAGAAAAGAUACAAGGUAGCCAUUAAUCUCAUCUAAAUUUGGUUGUCUGUAGUGGGAAAUACCUAUAUCUGAGGUAAUAACCUCCUUGAGCUCCUUUUAUCAUAAAUGAAGACGAAAUAGGUAACUUUGGUACUCUAAACAAUUAGCUGAGAUGUCAAUGCUUACAGUGUAAAUGUUUACAAUUAUUUAGGUGAAUUCUACUCUGAAUUGCUUUAACAUGUGACAGUAAGUGAUGAUGUAAUGCCCCUAAGUCUGAGUUGAUUUCUGUGGCUUCAAAUCAGCAAUCUGCUUAACAGUAUCCUAAUUUUAAGCAGAUAAAUAGUCUUAUUGAAGUCAGUGGUUAUUCACAUAGCAAAGGUACAUUCCAAUGCUUUGCCAAUGUGAAUAAUGUGACACAUAUGUUUUUCUUGCAAUAACUCUACUACAUCACUGCAGUGAUUUCUCUGCACAGUGGAAUGAAUGUUUUCAGAAAGCUCUCUUAAAUGUUUAGGAUUUUGGCAUUUUUGUAGCAGAUGCUGGUAAAUUACCAAGAUUCAUAUUCUUUCCUGUUUCAUAAUAAUAUUAAAAUCCAAUAAAAUAUAACUCAAUGUUUUGACUACUGCAUUAAUUAAACACUAAUGCUGGUUCCAUCCCUUAGAGUUCAAAUAUAAUUAUAGACAUGCUAAAUUUUUCCCAUUCUUCAUAUAAAAAAAGAUGAGACCAAAUAGCAAUAUGUCACCAAAGCAGUAAAGGUCUUUUUAACUAUGUGACAGACACUUCAACACAUUCACCAACUAUCUAUGUCAUUUCUAAUCCUUGAAUGCAUAGAUGGCCCUAAGAAGUUAUGAGUGUACCUACAUUUUUCAAUUGUUUUGUAACUUUGAUUUCAUGGAAUGAGUGUAGUUUAAACUGUAAAUGCUUUACCUGGAUUAAACUCUCAUCUCAGCUGCGAGAGGAGGGCUCGGUUAUAGAAAACUGCAGCCUUAAAUUGGAAAUUGUGAAGAAGGAAAUCUUGCCACUGAGGUGUUUGAUGCUCUGUUUUGACCUCAGUGGGCAGCUGACCAGAAUAUGAAAUUCUGGGCUCAGCAGCAGCCCUGGCCCCUUGGGCCAUGAUGGGGGAGAGCUGCCAAGAAGAGGGCAUCCCAUCUCCACUGCUGCAAUGGAGGGGCAAACUGUUCAGCUGGGUGAAAAUUAAACAUGUGCCUUAGGUUUCUCAUUAACUCCCAACGUAGCCUGUGGUGGGCUAAAAGCUUGGCCUUUUCUCCACCAGGUAAAGAACAAUGUUUUGCUUGUAGUUAACUUCCAUAUCAGUCAGCUACUCAGUCCAUUGAGAUCUUCCCAAACAGGCCUCCCUGUAAACUAUUUUUAUACCAAGAUAUCCUGUAGCAGUCUUUACAAAAAUAAAUGAACUAGUGACAUUAAGCUGAAAGGUAAGCAAAGGUGUUGAGUGUUAAACAUAUUAAGAGCAGGGGAAAAAUCUGUUAAUCAUUUUAUUAAUGUUUUCUUUUCUGCCGAAAUCCUUGAAAAUGCUUGUAAUUCUUUGCAGCUGACAGGCUGCUGAUUUUGCAGAAAGAAGAGGUUUUUGAGUUCCUUAACUGUAAGUCACAGUUGUUCCUUGUUUUGACUGUUGGAGAAUUAGUUCAAUAACCUCCCAAAUAGUAAGUGCCUGUGUUCUUAGAGCUUAAGUAUAAGAAGGUCUGCAUCUGAGAAUAAUUAUAGUUAAGCAAACACUACAUUGAAACACAAGCUUAAUGAGUUGCACUGAAACAGUGUAAGGGACUGUCAAAGUCAUUUUGCUGCUGUAUGGAUUUUUACAACACUGUUACCUCACUUAUUUGAAGGAUUCCCCUCUUUCAUACUCACUAAGUGACAUUCAAGCAUUCCCAGGUUUGUGGGAAGUGGCAGCAGGGAUGAGGCUUUGAGUCUGUGAUCUAUUCUGUCCUUUUACUGUGCCCAUGGCAAAAUCCAUGAGGCCAGUCCCAAGGUGUGCACUCUGUCUAGCACUGGUGCUCUCUUGAGGACUGUCGUCAUGGCUGACAACUUUUCCAAACUCUAAUGAGGAAGCUCCUGCUAGCCUUCAGUUGUGCCAGGGAGAUUUAGAUUGGAAAUCAGGAAAAAUUUCUUCACCAAAACAGCUGUCAAGCAUUGAAACAGUCUGCCUGAGGAAGUGGUUGGUCACCAUCCCUGAGGUAUUUAAAAGACCUCUAGAUGUGGCACUUAUGGACGUGGUUUAGUGGUGGACCUGGCAGUGCUGGGUUAAUGGUAGGUCUUAAUGAUUUUAGAGGUAUUUUCCAAUCUAAAUUAUUCUAUAUUUAUAUCAUUCUAUGACUUUUAGUCUUCCUCUGAUGCACGUCUCCAAGCAGACUGGAUAUUCCCUAUUUUGAGAGGAUAGGCCCCACAGGCCCGAGUCCACCAAGACACCUCCUGCAAGAUGUGCUGCAGAGCAGCAGCUUUCUCAGCCGAGCAGCUUUCUCAGCGAGGCCAGUUUCUGUGUCCUUGCUCACCUCUCAGAGCAUGUGGGUCACCAGGCAGACCAGAAAUGGAAACUGGGCAACAAUCCCUCUGCAGCAAGGAAUAGAAAGUUUCCCAGGGACACGAUUCCUACCAAAUCCCUGAGGCUUUUUUGACUUUCCUAAGCAGUGUGCUGAAUCACCUGAUGUUCCUGGGCUUGUCAGCUGCCCCAGAUCUGAGUAGCAGUUGGUUUUGUGACCUGCAGGCAAAAAAAGCCAUUUGCCAUUUUGCAUGGUCAUACUGGUCUCCACCACUGAGCCUUCUUCCCUUUCUCUCGAGCUUUUAUCCUCUUCUUUCCCUUCACCUUCCAAAGCAGUGAAAGGUGUAGCGACAGCUCAAAAGUGAAUAAGGGAAUGUAUCUUUCCCUUCCCACCAAGAGCUAUUGCUUGGUAGACCUGGCAGUGUUAGGCUAAUGGUUGGAUACAAUGAUCUCAGCAUAGUUUUCCAACCUUCACGAUACAAUGAUUCUAUAGGAACAAGAAAUUGCAUCUAAAUUCUCACAGUAAAAAUUAAUUUGAUAAAUUGAUGUAAUAUUUUGGAUACUUUUGGUCUUGUUUUGAUUUUCUUCACAAUUUUAUCAUACCAAAUGCAUAUUUAAAUUUUGCUGUGUGUGCUUUUGUGAAGUGAUAGGCAGACUGAGAUUCCCAUACAAAAAAACCUAUGGCAUUUUUCAUUGUCUAAUGUUUGAUGCUGACGGAAUCACUCAGGCAGCCUCUUUUUUUUUUUUUUUUUGAGCAACUCCUUCCAGAGACACUGACAGAACAGAACAGAGUCCAGGGUUUCAGGUUACAGAAAUCUGGAAUAGCUGUAUCACACAAAGAGCAUUCGUAGACUUCCUAUGCUGUUUGAAAAGCAGAGGCCCUUAAUGUAUUAUACUUGAAUGAAUAAAGUUAGAUAAGCCUUAUCCUUCCCGAUAUAAAAUAAGCAAGCAAAAAAAAAAAAAAAAGUCAAAAUAAAAAAAUAUUUUUUAUAAAAUCAUCCUUAUUGUGCAGUGUGAGCAUGUUUUCAUGUUUAUCUGAGGACAAUGUUAAACUUGGAUAAUGAACUGUAUUAAAACCUUUUAAAGGCAAGAUAACAAUAUAAGGUCAGGUAGUGAAAAAAUCAAAGAAUUUAGUUUUAUUUUCUCCUCUAAUUUUUAUGAACCAAGUACAAAAGUUAACCUUUCAAAUAUACUGUGGUCUAUAGUACAUAUUUUUUUGCUCCGUCCUCAUUCUUACAAUCUGAACAUUUUGUUAUUCUGUGAGUCAGCUGUGAAUAGCUGCAAUAUCAGAGACUGUGGUCUGGACCUGAUGAAAUAAAUGAUGAAAUGAAUUAUGAGAUUGAAACAGACUUGCACCAUCUUUUUUUCAGCUGCUUUUUAAACUUUUCUAAUGUAAAUUCCUUUUAUUACAUCUGAAUCAAACAUCAUUAUGUAUUAUGCAGUCUCAGAUAAAACAUACACCUUAUACCAGAAAAGCAGUGUUUAAAAAAAUAUUUUUUUUUGCUACUUAAAGUAUAAUUACCUUGUCAGUCUUAAAUAGCUCAUUCACUACAAUCUCUUCUACACUCCCAAUUUUCAGGGAAAUUACUGGGUUAAUUCAGGUCAAUGCCUUUAAAUUAAAUCUAAGAGCAACAGGAGCAGAGAAGAAGUAAACAGGAAUUAAGUACAAAGCAGACAGUUACAGCAACAUAUAGGAAUUAUGUAGGGUUUGCCAGAAAUACCAAUCUCAUGUGGAGACAGGAAGAAUUACUGCAGGGUACAUAUCCUCACAGGGAGAGAAAUGGAAUAGAGUUCCUAUUUCCAACAAAGAAGACUGGAAGACUGAACACUGCAAGAAAAAAAAAAAAAAAAAAAAACCUAUUUAAACCCAGGAUUGAACAAAGACAUGAUCAAAGCUGCCAGCAGCCCUGAGAUAGUGACCGCACAGUUUUAGGACCAGUCCUAUACCUGUUUUAAACACAACUGCCUUGUUUCCCACACAAUCUCCCCAUGCCCUGUGGAAUUCAUGUCUGUUUUCAUGUCUAUUGGGCAUGGGCAAAAGCCAAACUGCUUCAGUUUAUGUUGGCAUCUCUCCACUUUGCAAUGAGAAUGCAAAAUCAAUAAUCUUCUUAUAGUCUUUCUGUACUUCACUGGACUUUCACAGCUGACAUCUUUUGCAACGGUAUUAUAGACUGAGAAGUAUUUAGAAAUUUUAGUUUCCUGGUUGUAGGAGAAAGAAGUGAAAGUGGGUUUUCCCUGUGGAAAGCCUCAUGCACAGGAUGCUUAAACUUGACACAAAACCAAAACAAAAGUGUGGAUGUUAGUGGUAUAAAAGACAUGCGCUGGGAGAUGAGCCCAGCUUAGAAAGAAUCAUUCCUUUUCAGAGCAGACAGACCAGGCUCAGUUUCUGCUUAGUGGAUAUCUCUCUAGACAUGGCAUUAGUGACAUUGAGAAAGCAAACACACCAAAAUUAUCGCUAAAUUAAUUAAUAUGCAGUUAGAACAUUCUUAAUUUCAGCAGUGUUACCUGACUGGUGCAGGAUAUUUUGGAGCUAGAGAUUGCCUGUCUGUAUUUAGUUAUACAAAGUUCAGAGUGAGAUAUGCAAUGUAUAAUCUAGUCCUUCUAAAACUUAAGCAGUAUAUAAUGAUGGCUGAAAACAACAUUCAAUCAGUCCAGAGAGAGCUAUGCCUUUUUUAUAAGUCCUGCAAAACCAUUGGGAGUGCUUUGUUUCUCAAAUAUAGACUGAAUUUUAAAUUUAGAAAACAAUCCCUGUCAUAUUAAUAUUUUUUAAUAUGUUUCCAGUGAAUUCAGGCAGCUUUGAGUAAAGCUUCUGAGACGAGGUGUUGGCUGUCCUGUUAAACCUGAAGAAAUUUGUGAAACAGAUGAAAGAAUCAGAAAAAGAGAUGCAGUCUCUUGAAAUGGAAGGGAAUAGAAGUACCUCUCUAGUAUCAAGUAUGAUGUGAACUGAACCUAAACAUAAGGGGCAACCACAUCUGUUUUGGAUAGUGGGCUUUAAAUGACCCAGGUAUGAAGUUUAUAAGUGCCACCUUACUGACUUAGUUUUUUGCCUGCCUUCUGUUUACAGAGAUUCCUUAUAACUUCACCAACAGUUGGAUGUAGACUUAUUAAACAGUCUUGGUCGUGUAUUCUUACUCAGAGACAGAAUGCAAACACUAGAUGGUUCCUGCAAGAUUUGGGAUGGGGAGACUACAAUAAGUUUUAUCUUUCCCCAGUUUUCUCUUAUCUAGGCUGAAUAUAUUUGCUAUAUUUUCUCAAAUACGUUUCAAUCUAAGUAUCUUUUUUAUCUGUCUUCAGCUGGUUUUGACUCUAUCCAGUUGGGUACCUUGUUUUAUAGCAGUGUAGUCAAAACUGGAUUCAAGCUGAGGCCUUAUGUGUGCAGGAUAAAAAAUAACUACCUCCUCUGUGUUAAGCCUGUUGCUUGUUAACAGCAUCACAUUUUUCACCUGGACUUAGUUUGUGAUCCACUCUAACCUCCCUGCCUCAACCUUUUCUUUUUUCUAGCAUGUUGCCUAGGUAGUUAUUCCUGAUUUUCUGUUUGUGUGUUCAAUUUCCUCUCUCAACUGUUGCCUUUUUUUUAAAUUUCAAUUUCACCAUGUUGCUUUUGGAUUAUUUCUCCAAUUUGUCAGGAUCAGCUUGAGCAGCAACCACAGCUUCCCAUGUGCUUCUAAGCUCUGUGUGACUUACAAAUGGCACGAGUCUCUGUACUGUCAUUCAUGUAUUUAACGAAAGUAAGGAAUAGAAGAAGGUGCUGCAGAAAUGUGUUGCCAAUUUGUGAGAGAAAUGUUGACAACUUCUCUUUGAGUAUUUUUUUUCAAUCACUUGUGCAUUUAUCAUAGAGUCAUUUGUUCAAGAAAGUAUUUCCUUCUUUGGCUGAGGAGAAUAUCAUGCAACACCACGUCAAAAAAACUGACCAGACCAACUGGAAGAGAUUACUACUUUCAGGAUAUCCAGCAGCCUCUUCCAAAGGGAAAGCAGUUCAGUGGGCUGCACUGUACUGAGAAUGGUCUUGUGAACUUCAGGGAGACCAGGACCUUGGCAUGUUUUGCCAAAGCCUCGAGCAAACUGUAAUGCAAGAAUCAUGAGUAAGGAACUUCUGCAAUUGCCCAGAGAAGUGUGGCUGUGAGAGUGUUUAAAGGGAAAGCAGACCAAGAAACAAAGCCACUGUGUAAAAUAAAUGUUUCUUGAUAUUUAGUCCUGUCAUUCCCUGUCCAAGAGCCAAAGGAAAGGUGAAUUCAGUGAGAGGAAGUGUCAAAAAGUGCAUCUGAUGAAGAAGACCUGCCUUCUGUAAAAUAUGACAUGAUUCUGUGGAAACUGCUGCCACAGUUUACAGUGACCAUGGCUGUUGUGGGCUAUCUGACUCACACCUGUCAAGAGUUGCUGGGACUUGUCAAGUGGCACUGGCUGCACCCUCUGCAAGGCUUCUGUGCAUGGAAGGUGAGCUGUGGUCAGUCUCCUGUUUUGUUUUCACCUCAGUAGUGAACCAAGAUCGGUCACACUGACCCACUGCCAGUAUUCCCUAAUUCUCCUUAACGAGGACAACCUCCUUGCUAAAUCUGAUCCUGGAAAGCCACAUAAUUUGUGAGUAUGAGAAAGAUUAGAUUAGUAUUUCAGAACUGUUAUUAGUGACCUAAAAUACAAACAAAUAUGGUUUCUCACCACAGAUGCUAUGAAUGGUCUGUGUGUUUUUAAAGCCUGCAUUUUAAAACACCUUAAUACUAAGUGAAAUGAAAACUUCCUUAUAAAGCAAAGAGUUGAAAGACAAAAGCUCAAAACAAGUAAUACAAGUAAUUUUUGUUAGCACACUUCAUUAUGUAAAUAAACAGAGAAAUACAGAUAUGAUUUUUUGUCUCAUUAAUAUUAACCACUGCUUGUUGGAAAGCAAUUAUUCAAUUCUAUUUUCUAAUACAUUUCCAGAUUUUAUCAUUCUCUUUCUCUUUCACAAAUCAAGAAGCAAAAUUGCUUGUAAUUACAUGUGAUAAACAUGAUAGAGAAAUCAUUCAACAUACCGAAAAAACACACCAAAGAUGAGAGAAAAAGCUAUAUUCUGAAAUAAAAACUUUCUGGUUUUUACCCUUCUAAAGCUGAUAGGUGAAAUACUUGACCAGUUCCUUUUAAACCAAAAUGUAAAUGCUGAUUUCCUUCACCAGGGCACUGUGCCUGAAACAAUUGUCUUGCUCGUUCUUUUGGGUGCAGAAAAGGAGAAUCUUUUCUGAAGCAUGUUUAUAAAAAAUAGCAUGUCCUCGACACCAACAAAAGCAGAACAGCUCUGUUGCUACAGCUGAGCUUGGAAAAGUCCUGGAAGAACCCUGUGGAGCUUGGGAUUCCUUAAUCAGAACAGAGCUGCAGCCCUUUGAAGGCCCUGCUCGUAUUUGUGAUGACGGUGGUGGAGUCCCACUCCCUCUGGGCACACACAUACACUCUCCCCUGUGGACAGAAAGAAUAAAGAUGGAAUUUAAUGUUCUUUGAUACGACACAUACCUUUGCAGUGGUGCUUAUUCACACUUACAGAGAGUAUCUUCACUUCUCUGUGGCUAGUCAUGUUCCUAGAGAACUGCCACAAGUACAUUGCAGAAGCUGGUAGGGAAGAAAUCAUAUCCAUAAAUCUGUGCUAUCUUAUUAUGGGAAUUUUUGACCAAAAAGUGCAUCAUAAAGAGAAGGCAUGAGAGGUCAGUAAUAAAAGAAAAAGUGGCUUUCCAAGUUUAUUGUCAUUACUCCAGUGGAUGAGUGUGGGUGCAUUAAGUUCUCAGCUUUUGACACCAUUGAUGUCAGCCCUCGGGAUCUGGGCAAGGCCACUGCUGAGGGUGCUUGAAAAAUCCCACCUACGAGUCAAACAAACUACAUGAGUCUAGUGACCUGUGUUUGAACCCACUUGCCUUUUUAAAAUAAACCCCUGUACAAAUCCCAGAAGAAGCAUGUGGUUAGUUCACAUCAUGGACUAAUAAUCGCUUACAUCAUCCUAUUUUUAAAAUUAGUCCUUUUUUGGAUUAUGGGAAUGUCAGAAAUCAUGUUGGAAAAUUCCAAAGUCUACCAAUCCCAUCUUAAAAGUGUCCAAUCCUUUUUCUUUUUUUUAACCUAU